CCUACGGGUGGCAGCAGUGGGGAAUAUUGCACAAUGGGGGAAACCCUGAUGCAGCGACGCCGCGUGAGUGAAGAAGUAUUUCGGUAUGUAAAGCUCUAUCAGCAGGGAAGAAGAAAGACGGUACCUGACUAAGAAGCCCCGGCUAACUACGUGCCAGCAGCCGCGGUAAUACGGAGGGGGCAAGCGUUAUCCGGAUUUACUGGGUGGAAAGGGAGCGUAGACGGCAGUGCAAGUCUGAAGUGAAAGCCCAGGGCUCAACCCUGGGACUGCUUUGGAAACUGUGGAGCUAGAGUGCUGGAGAGGUAAGUGGAAUUCCUGGUGUAGCGGUGAAAUGCGUAGAUAUUAGGAGGAACACCAGUGGCGAAGGCGACUUACUGGACAGUAACUGACGUUGAGGCUCGAAAGCGUGGGGAGCAAACAGGAUUAGAUACCCCAGUAGUC
Molecule: ribosomal RNA, 441 nt
Filed under: uncultured bacterium
Lineage: Bacteria
Description: partial 16S ribosomal RNA
Rfam family: Bacterial small subunit ribosomal RNA
Source: RNAcentral